AGUGAACGCUGGCGGUAUGCCUAAUACAUGCAAGUCGAACGGCAGCACAGUAAGAUUGUGCUCUUACUGUUGGCGGGUGGCGGACGGGUGAGGAAUGCAUCGGAUUCUUCUUUUUCUUGGAUGAUAACGUAAGGCAACUGAUACUAAUACCUCAUACUACCUACGGCAUAAUGCAAGAGUGCUUGACACCUUUCCCGUCUGAAUUAGCCGACGUCGCAUUAGCUAGUUGGGUAGGUAAAGGCACACCAAGGCGACGAUCCGUAGCUGAUCUGAGAGGAUGAUCAGCCACACUGGAACUGAGACACGGUCCAGACUCCUACGGGAGGCAGCAGUGGGGAAUAUUGGACAAUGGGCGCAAGCCUGAUGCAGCCAUACCGCGUGAGUGAUGAAGGUCUUCGGAUCGUAAAGCCCUUUUGUUGGGAAAGAACAGCAGCGGAUUAAUCCGCGGAUGUUCUGACGGUACCUAAUGAAUAAGCACCGGCUAACUUCGUG
This 492-nucleotide ribosomal RNA is filed under the name uncultured bacterium. RNAcentral describes it as "partial 16S ribosomal RNA". It matches the Rfam family "Bacterial small subunit ribosomal RNA", at positions 29 to 507 of the family's 1533-position model. The record is from RNAcentral.